RNAcentral lists this ribosomal RNA (258 nucleotides) under uncultured bacterium. RNAcentral's name for it is "partial 16S ribosomal RNA". It matches the Rfam family "Bacterial small subunit ribosomal RNA", at positions 524 to 776 of the family's 1533-position model. The record is from RNAcentral.
GACGAACCGUGCGAACGUUAUUCGGAAUCAUUGGGCUUAAAGCGCGUGUAGGCGGGCCGGCACGUCGGUCGCUGAAAUCCCCCGGCUCAACCGGGGAAGGGGCGCCGAUACGACCGGCCGUGGAGGGGCGUAGGGGGACCUGGAACUUCCGGUGGAGCGGUGAAAUGCGUAGAUAUCGCUUGGAACGCCAAAGGUGAAAACAGGGUUGCUGGGGGUUGUGCCGAACGCUGAGACACGAAAGCCAGGGGAGCAAACGGG